RNA transcript from Salvelinus fontinalis (brook trout), 1540 nucleotides. It is a transcript of the gene named CD9 antigen-like, with no coding region annotated. The transcript has 9 exons. NCBI's taxonomy places the organism in Eukaryota, Metazoa, Chordata, Actinopteri, Salmoniformes, Salmonidae. The record is from RefSeq and is a predicted model, not a curated record.
UGAAAUGGGCGGUCUGGAAACACAGUGAGAGGAUCCUCAGGUGCUUUCCUCUGCUGACGAUAUUGACAGCGCGGCUUGAUGUUCUUGAAAGCAGCACGGUGCACCGAUAUUGUUUACAAGUUUUAAAAGAGAAAGAAUAGCAACAAACUCCGAUUUACGUUUUGAGAAUUAGCGUUGCAUUUUUGGAGCCAACAAUGGGGAAAGUGGAAGGAGGAAUGAAAUGUGUAAAAUAUCUACUUUUCAUCUUCAACUUCAUAUUCUGGUUGAUGGGCUCGUUGGUCCUUGCGGUUGGAUUGUGGUUGCGGUUCGAUCCUGAGACCGUCGCUCUGCUGAACGGAGACGGAGCGCCAGACACCUUCUUUUAUGGUGUGUAUAUCCUGAUCAUAGCGGGCAGUCUAGUGAUGUUGGUGGGAUUCUUUGGCUGCUGUGGAGCCAUACGAGAGUCCCAGUGUCUGCUGGGGUCGUUCUUUGCCUGUCUGCUGAUCAUCUUUGGAGCAGAGGUUGCCGCUGGUGUGUUUGGCUUCUUAAACAAAGACAAGAUAAUCGAAGAUGUCCAGAACUACUACAUCAAAUCCUACAACGACGGCAACAGCAACAACAACACAAUGAUACAAAACUCUUACCACAAAGUUCUGAACUGUUGUGGAACGUCCCAGAGCGUCUGCCCCGAGGCCCCAGCUGACACCAAGGACUGUGAGGUGGGCAUCAAGGAGUUCUUCAACAGUAAACUGUACAUCAUCGGUUACGUGGGGAUCGGCAUCGCUGGAGUCAUGAUUAUAGGGAUGAUCUUUAGUAUGGUGUUGUGCUGUGCCAUCCGCAACAGCAGGGAGAUCAUCUAACCAGGCAGAGCUUCCAGUCCUCCAGUCCCCCCAACGACCCAACUCCAGUCCCCCCAACGGCCCAGCUCCAGUCCUCCAGUCCCCCCAACGGCCCAGCUCCAGUCCUCCAGUCCCCCCAACGGCCCAGCUCCAGUCCUCCAUUCCCCCCAACUCCAGUCCUCCAGUCCCCCCAACGGCCCAGCUUCCAGUCCUCCAGUCCCCCCAACGGCCCAGCUCCAGUCCCCCCAACGGCCCAACUCCAGUCCUCCAGUCCCCCCAACGGCCCAGCUUCCAGUCCUCCAGUCCCCCCAACGGCCCAGCUCCAGUCCCCCCAACGGCCCAACUCCAGUCCUCCAGUCCCCCCAACGGCCCAGCUCCAGUCCUCCAGUCCCCCCAACUCCAGUACUCCAGUCCCCCCAACGGCCCAGCUCCAGUCCUCCAGUCCCCCCAACGGCCCAGCUCCAGUCCUCCAGUCCCCCCAACGGCCCAGCUCCAGUCCCCCCAACGGCCCAGCUCCAGUCCUCCAGUCCCCCCAACAACCCAACUCCAGUCCUCCAGUCCCCCCAACUCCAGUCCUCCAGUCCCCCCAACGGCCCAGCUCCAGUCCUCCAGUCCCCCCAACGGCCCAGCUCCAGUCCUCCAGUCCCCCCAACGGCCCAGCUCCAGUCCCCCCAACGGCCCAGCUCCAGUCCCCCCAACGGCCCAGCUCCAGUCCCCCCAAC